This 253-nucleotide ribosomal RNA is filed under the name uncultured bacterium. RNAcentral describes it as "partial 16S ribosomal RNA". It matches the Rfam family "Bacterial small subunit ribosomal RNA", at positions 524 to 776 of the family's 1533-position model. The record is from RNAcentral.
UACGGAGGGUGCAAGCGUUAUCCGGAUUCACUGGGUUUAAAGGGUGCGUAGGUGGGUUGGUAAGUCAGUGGUGAAAUCCCCGAGCUUAACUCGGGAACUGCCAUUGAUACUAUCAGUCUUGAAUACCGUGGAGGUCAGCAGAAUAUGUCAUGUAGCGGUGAAAUGCUUAGAUAUGACAUAGAAUACCAAUUGCGAAGGCAGCUGGCUACCCGAAUAUUGACACUGAGGCACGAAAGCGUGGGGAUCAAACAGG